Molecule: non-coding RNA, 308 nt
Organism: Taeniopygia guttata (zebra finch)
Lineage: Eukaryota; Metazoa; Chordata; Aves; Passeriformes; Estrildidae
Source: RefSeq, a predicted model, not a curated record
AGGGCAAGGAGGCAGCUUUUCCCUCCAGCCCCAGAUAUCACAGCUGCUGAGGGCCAGCUUUAAUGGCAGUAACUAAAGGUGUAGCCUCCACAGCUUCCACAGGGACAAGCACACACAAAGAAAAAAAAAUCCUAUGUGAGCACAAGCAACAGCCUGCACAGGCCUUGAAAACCUUCCCUGAGAUGGGCUGUCCUGCUCCUCUUGCUGCAUGCAGGCAGCAGGAGAUGGCACUGCAUGGCAGAGGCUGCAAGACCUGGUGCCACCAGCGAGAGGAGCGACUGGAGACACACAGCUGGGGCACCUUACAG